This 249-nucleotide long non-coding RNA is filed under the name Gallus gallus (chicken). RNAcentral describes it as "long non-coding RNA NONGGAT002246". The record is from RNAcentral. Lineage: Eukaryota; Metazoa; Chordata; Aves; Galliformes; Phasianidae.
AGCACUCCGGCUCAGUACUGUGGACCGGGUGCAUGGCAGCACCUUGCAAAGGAGCAGCACGAGGACAAGCAUCACUCUGCGCUGCAGGGAGGGACCUGCCUCCAUCUCCCAUGGGGGUUGACCUUGUGGCUGCCCUGCUCUCUCCAUCGCUGAGCACAGAUCCCAGCCUGGAAGCUGCACUCAUGUCAGCUGGAUGGAGCGGGAGCUGCUGCUGCCUCGGCUGCUCUUCGUUGUGCCUGCAAAGGUAAG